RNAcentral lists this ribosomal RNA (243 nucleotides) under uncultured Quadrisphaera sp. Its description in RNAcentral is "partial 16S ribosomal RNA". It matches the Rfam family "Bacterial small subunit ribosomal RNA", at positions 268 to 523 of the family's 1533-position model. The record is from RNAcentral. Lineage: Bacteria; Bacillati; Actinomycetota; Actinomycetes; Kineosporiales; Kineosporiaceae.
CCAAGGCGACGACGGGUAGCGGGCCUGAGAGGGUGACCGGCCACACUGGGACUGAGACACGGCCCAGACUCCUACGGGAGGCAGCAGUGGGGAAUAUUGCGCAAUGGGCGAAAGCCUGACGCAGCGACGCCGCGUGAGGGAUGAAGGCCUUCGGGUUGUAAACCUCUUUCAGCAGGGAAGAAGCGCAAGUGACGGUACCUGCAGAUGAAGCACCGGGUAACUACGUGCCAGCAGCCGCGGUAA